GAUGAACGCUGGCGGCGUGCUUAACACAUGCAAGUCGAACGAAGCACUUUUCGGAAUCCCUUCGGGGAGGAAGAGAAGUGACUUAGUGGCGGACGGGUGAGUAACGCGUGGGUAACCUGCCUUAUACAGGGGGAUAACAGUUGGAAACGACUGCUAAGACCGCAUAAGCGCACAGUGUCGCAUGACACAGUGUGAAAAAU
This 200-nucleotide ribosomal RNA is filed under the name uncultured Bacillota bacterium. Its description in RNAcentral is "uncultured Firmicutes bacterium partial 16S ribosomal RNA". It matches the Rfam family "Bacterial small subunit ribosomal RNA", at positions 28 to 207 of the family's 1533-position model. The record is from RNAcentral. Lineage: Bacteria; Bacillati; Bacillota.